AUACUUACCUGGCAGGGGUGAUUCAAUGAUCACGAAGGUGGUUUCCCCAGAGCGAGGCUUACCCAUUGCACUCUGGGUGUGCUGACCCCUGCGAUUUCUCCAAAUGUGGGAAACUCGACUGAAUAAUUUGUGGUAGUGGGGAAAAAAAGAAUUAUGAUUGGAUUAGCCUA
Small nuclear RNA from Suncus etruscus (white-toothed pygmy shrew), 170 nucleotides. RefSeq annotates it as U1 spliceosomal RNA. The transcript has a single exon. Lineage: Eukaryota; Metazoa; Chordata; Mammalia; Eulipotyphla; Soricidae. The record is from RefSeq and is a predicted model, not a curated record.